Molecule: unclassified non-coding RNA, 1801 nt
Filed under: Penaeus chinensis
Lineage: Eukaryota; Metazoa; Arthropoda; Malacostraca; Decapoda; Penaeidae
Description: protein FAM50A-like, transcript variant X1
Source: RNAcentral
GUUGCCAAAUCAGAGCACGAGUUACAAGCAUCACAAGCAGGAUGGCACAGUACAAGGGGGCAGCAAGUGAAGCGGGACGGGCCAUGCAGAUCAUGAAGAGAAGGGAGAAAGAGCUGGAGGAGAUGGAGCAGAAGAAAAGAAAGCUGGAGGAAUCGCUGAAAAUCAACAAGAUAGAGAACAAGUUUGCUGUCCAUUAUGAUGCCGUAGAGCAGCAGCUGAAGAGCUCAACAAUUGGUUUAGUAACUCUGAAUGAGAUGAAAGCCAAGCAGGAAGAUGUUGUGAAGGAGAGGGAGAAGGAGCUUGCACGCAAACAGAAGGAGCAAGAAAAAUUGAUGAAGAAGGAAAUAGAAGCAAAACAGGCAAAGAAAAAAGAGCAAAGAGAUAAGAUUGCAAAGCUCAGUUUUUGUCCAGAUGAUGAAGAGGAGGGAGAAGAUGAAGAGGAGGAAGUUGAGGAAGUUGAGGAAGAGGAGGAAAAAGUUGUGGAGGUUAAGACGAGCGAGAGCAAGGAAUUCCGCAUGGCCAAGAACCCAGAUGUGGACACAAGCUUCCUGCCAGACAGGGAAAGGGAGGAUGCUGAGAAUAGAUUACGAGAAGAACUAAGACAGGAAUGGGUAGGUAAACAAGAGGCUAUGAAGAAUGAGGAAAUAGAGAUCACCUUCAGCUACUGGGAUGGGUCAGGUCACAGACGAUCAGUUCGGAUGAAGAAAGGGAACAGCGUGUAUCAGUUUUUACAAAGGGGUCUGGAAAUCUUGCGGAAGGAGUUCAAUGAGCUACGUACUGUCUCAGCUGACCACCUUAUGUAUAUAAAAGAAGAUCUGAUUAUACCUCAUCACUACACAUUUUAUGAUUUCAUUGUCAAUAAAGCCAGAGGUAAGAGUGGACCCUUGUUCCAUUUUGAUGUCCGUGAUGAUAUCAGACUGGUGAGCGAUGCUUCUGUGGAGAAGGAAGAAUCCCAUGCAGGAAAGGUGGUGAUGCGAAGCUGGUAUGAACGCAACAAGCAUAUCUUCCCUGCAAGUAGGUGGGAACCUUAUGACCCACAGAAGAAUUAUGAGAAGUAUACCAUAAAGGACAAGAGCAAGAAGAAGUAAAGGAAUAUUGCCAGGCCUUCCAUAGUACAAAUCCUGCUCCUCUUCAAAAACUGCCAGGGAUACAGUACAGGAUAGGGGAGUUUGUAGGGGAGAUGGAGACAGUUCCGGUACAAGUAUUAAGGGUGGGAUGAGGUUCGGCGGGAAUGGAUCCCCAGGAAUUGUAUAAACCGAUACAGUUUGGCACCAGUGGCGUUGUAGUGAACCAAGGGGGUCCCAAGCAAUACGUGGCAGGGCUGGACGCCUGGAAUCUCCACCUGUGACCAUCAGGGACCACCACCGUGGGGAACCACCGUGGACAACCUUCGUGGGCUGUACAACAACUCCAAGCACUUACCUGCUUCUCCCCGCCUCUAAGACGCUGACAGAGGUAUGGGAGAUAAACGAGGAAAUCACGCUCGCACGGCCAAGGCUACAGGUACUCUCUCUCUCCCAAUCCUCGGGGUAAAUUACUUAUACAAUGGGAAUUCUAGCAGCAUAACAGAGAUCCACGGAAGACUGCUUGAUCAGGAUAGCUCUUGCUGCAGGCAUAUGGAGAGAGGCCGUAGUCAAGCCUUUUCUUUGUGUUAAUCAUUAUUGUGUUAUACGGUGACGGACGGAGGAUUCGAGGCAGUUUUUGAAAGAUUAGUAAUGUGUACACCAUCAGUAUAUGCAGGCUUUGUUAUUCAUUGUCAUUUAUGUAUAUGUCGAAGUUUCUUUAUUAAAUAUUAAUUUUA